Molecule: long non-coding RNA, 626 nt
Organism: Ipomoea nil (Japanese morning glory)
Lineage: Eukaryota; Viridiplantae; Streptophyta; Magnoliopsida; Solanales; Convolvulaceae
Exons: 2
Source: RefSeq, a predicted model, not a curated record
UGCCCCUGUCGGCAGUGGAGAGAAAAAAGGUCAGUCGUGCUUAUAUGUGUAUUGACUCACGCAAGGGGUGAGUCUUUGUGAAAGGAGCACAUGCAGGCAAGGGAAGGUCGACAAUGGAGCUUCAUACUCCCCCACCGUAGCUGCAUUUUAGGUGAUAACUCACCCCCUUACUCCUCUCCCCGACAGACUAGGCAGAAUCUUCUCAGUUUUUCCCCUCACCCUUUCCCUCCAAACUAUCUGGUUUUGCACUCUCUUUCCAUUUUUCUCCUCUUCUGGACACCGUCACGGUCACAACUGCGGAUUUUGGACCGUCACAAGGCUUGAGUAAGCGGUGAGAGAUUCCUCUGGACCAUGUUUACCUGGGUUCGAUCGUCUAUCUUUAGGUGCUGGCUGAUCUUUUUAAUGUUGAUGUGUCUUCUGGGCAGCUGGAUGAUGUAGGUCCAAGGGCUGAUGAUUUUGGUUGCCAGGAUGGGGCUGAAUAAGGGGAUGCUUCCAGCCAUGAUUCUUCUUUCUAGAUGAUGUGUAAUAUUUAUCUUCUUUUUUUUUUUUUUUUUUUUCUAAACUGGACCAUUUGGGUGUUGUAAUGACGAUUUCUAAUAUGCUCAUUCUAUUUUUUUUUUCCUGUU